This 264-nucleotide ribosomal RNA is filed under the name Pseudoxanthomonas sp. ISOM351_OTU7698. Its description in RNAcentral is "partial 16S ribosomal RNA". It matches the Rfam family "Bacterial small subunit ribosomal RNA", at positions 29 to 289 of the family's 1533-position model. The record is from RNAcentral. Lineage: Bacteria; Pseudomonadati; Pseudomonadota; Gammaproteobacteria; Lysobacterales; Lysobacteraceae.
GUGAACGCUGGCGGUAGGCCUAACACAUGCAAGUCGAACGGCAGCACAGCAGUAGCAAUACUGUGGGUGGCGAGUGGCGGACGGGUGAGGAAUACAUCGGAAUCUACCUUUUCGUGGGGGAUAACGUAGGGAAACUUACGCUAAUACCGCAUAAGACCUUCGGGUGAAAGCCGGGGACCUUCGGGCCUGGCGCGGAUAGAUGAGCCGAUGUCGGAUUAGCUUGUUGGCGGGGUAAAAGCCCACCAAGGCGACGAUCCGUAGCUG